Molecule: long non-coding RNA, 309 nt
Organism: Colossoma macropomum (tambaqui)
Lineage: Eukaryota; Metazoa; Chordata; Actinopteri; Characiformes; Serrasalmidae
Exons: 3
Source: RefSeq, a predicted model, not a curated record
GGCCGUGACCGUAGUUCUACUCAUCCGGAUGUUUGUUAAGUGCAUCAGAAAACAACAGAGAGAUGAUUCUAAUGUUAAACCGAAACAAGAGAAUGAGGAGCAGGAUGGUGAAACGGUGAACUACGCUGCUCUACACUUUAAUAAGAAAAACAAGAGAUCAGAGAGAAAUGUAAAUGUGGAUCCAAAUGUUAUAUAUUCUACUGUGAGUAACAUCCAGUAAAUUACUGAUGGAUUGUGAUUAGUUUUGUGUGUUUGAACAGAUACAUAAUUCUACAUUAUUAUAACCAGCUGUAGUGUCAGCUGAAAGCA